GUACCUCCACCCAGUUGGGGAGGAAAGAAAAUGAAAUCCCAAUCAGUCAAGAUGCUGCUUUCUUAGUACCUCGGAUAAGAAGUGGAGAGGAGGGCGUUAAGACUAAUGGCGAUAAUGACGUUUUUGGACAAGCUGUGGGUUCAUUUAUUCAAGCUCUCCCUGUUCCCAAUUUUUAAGAUGAUAUAUCUCCUGGUAUCCAGACUAAUUUCAGAAGGUAUAAAGAAACGAAGCGUAUUAAUAGCCAGAGAAAAUCAUUUCCCCAAGCGAAGACCUCUACCUUCCUACCUGAUGGCGGGAACAAUAAGCCCACCAAGCCGGCUGUGUUUAUUUCCAUCUUUGAAGGCCAGCCAGACUUAGAGACGUGCCACGACACUGGGCUCGGCAGCGGAGAAUUCACGGGAAGAUUUACCUGGAAUAAAUGAAAGUGGAAAAAUU
Ornithorhynchus anatinus (platypus) is the source of this 435-nucleotide long non-coding RNA. RefSeq lists it as uncharacterized. The transcript has 2 exons. The record is from RefSeq and is a predicted model, not a curated record. Lineage: Eukaryota; Metazoa; Chordata; Mammalia; Monotremata; Ornithorhynchidae.